RNAcentral lists this unclassified non-coding RNA (1442 nucleotides) under Hevea brasiliensis (rubber tree). Lineage: Eukaryota; Viridiplantae; Streptophyta; Magnoliopsida; Malpighiales; Euphorbiaceae. The record is from RNAcentral.
UUUACUUUAUGAUCUCAAAAUGCAAUGGACAACUUAGUGAAAACCAAAGCUAAGCUAUAAUUCAAAUCUAUAUAUAUAAUUGUCUUCAAGUUAACCUGCUAAAAUCUAAUCAUUGUAUGGUGAAAAUAGAAAGUUGAAUACAUGAAUCAGGUCAAUCAAACUUUUAUGACGAGCUUCCGAAGAAGUUUUCUGUCCUGAGAUAGGUGCACUACUAUUUUCCAAUGCUAUGGGUGGCUUACCAUCCUCUAGCUCUUAUGAGUUGAAAGCUUAGACAACUGCAAGGAUUUAUUGCCACUGUCAUCUAUAGAAGCAGACCUCAAACAACUGCCAAAACCACUGAUAUGGAGUACAAGUUGAUGAUUCUCUCAUGACAAUAGAGGUGAGGGAAGCCUUGGAUUCAAGUUGAUAUUUGAACAAUAGUAUGCAAAAGAGGCUGGAUCAGAGCGCAGUUGUUCUUCAGACUCACAAUUCUCACUGGCACUGCUUAAACUUUCCAAGCCAGAACUCAUGCUAAGUUUUGUUCAGCAUAAUGGUUACCAAUAGUUGCAAAUGAGGCUGGAUCAGAGCGCAGUUGUUCUUCAGACUCACAAUUCUCACUGGCACUGCUUAAACUUUCCAAGCCAGAACUCAUGCUAAGUUUUGUUCAGCAUAAUGGUUACCAAUAGUUGCAAAUGACCCCUCUACACAUGGCGGUGCACUGCCACUUCAACCAGGAACCGUAUCUGUUUGAUAUCCAUGGAAUCUUUGCCCCCUCAUGAGCAAUACCAAGUUCACUGUUGCCAUAUUAUUUAAGGACGACCGAAAUAUGGCUGCAUCCUUACAAAGGGCCACUUUCUAGCUCCAAUAGUCUCCACCAUUCUCAUAGGGCUCUCCAUUGCCAUCCUGCUUAGAGGCUAUGCAAAGCCCUUGUUCUUCUUUUCUUUUCUUAGACGAAAAAGAAAGUCACAUUAUUCCCUCCAUUGAUGCAGAGCCAUAUGCGGCAUUCAGCAAUUUAAAGUUGCCAUAAGAAAAGAAAAAUAGAAAUAAGAAUAAUAAAAUUGUAUGAUUAGAAGAGGAAAGACAACCAGCUUAAGUGAGAAUGCCUACAAAAAAGUUUUAAUCCUACUCAAAUUUAAGUUCACAUUUUCUCUCAUCAUGAACUCCACAUCAAUUUUAAUAGAAUAUCUCUAUACACUACCCCAGUCCUUGUUCCCAAAAACUCGCUUCCAAACUAGCAAAAGUCUAGGUCACAACAUUUUGCAUAACCCAGCCAAAUCAAAAUGGAUAAAGAUUACACUCCACAAAUAUCUCUAGCAACAAUAUAAUGAAUUUACAGAUGAUCCAUCGUUGCUCCCUAUACUGCUAUACAUGAAAAGCUAGUUAACAAUGGAAAAAAAUGAUAAAGCAACAAAAUGAGUCUCGCAGCAGAUAUUUGACCCAUCCAGAAUCUACAACAUGGCAUA